ACGGAAGGCAGCAGUGGGGAAUAUUGGACAAUGGGGGAAACCCUGAUCCAGCGACGCCGCGUGAGUGAAGAAGUAUUUCGGUAUGUAAAGCUCUAUCAGCAAGGAAGAAAAUGACGGUACUUGACUAAGAAGCUCCGGCUAAAUACGUGCCAGCAGCCGCGGUAAUACGUAUGGAGCAAGCGUUAUCCGGAUUUACUGGGUGUAAAGGGAGCGUAGACGGUAAAGCAAGUCUGAAGUGAAAUCCCGGGGCUCAACCCCGGAACUGCUUUGGAAACUGUUUAACUAGAGAGCAGGAGAGGUAAGCGGAAUUCCUAGUGUAGCGGUGAAAUGCGUAGAUAUUAGGAGGAACACCAGUGGCGAAGGCGGCUUACUGGACUGUAACUGACGUUGAGGCUCGAAAGCGUGGGGAGCAAACAGGAUUAGAUACCCUGGUA
Molecule: ribosomal RNA, 434 nt
Filed under: uncultured Lachnospiraceae bacterium
Lineage: Bacteria; Bacillati; Bacillota; Clostridia; Lachnospirales; Lachnospiraceae
Description: partial 16S ribosomal RNA
Rfam family: Bacterial small subunit ribosomal RNA
Source: RNAcentral